RNAcentral lists this ribosomal RNA (745 nucleotides) under uncultured bacterium. Its description in RNAcentral is "bacterial SSU rRNA". It matches the Rfam family "Bacterial small subunit ribosomal RNA", at positions 28 to 776 of the family's 1533-position model. The record is from RNAcentral.
GAUGAACGCGGAGGCGUGCUUAACACAUGCAAGUCGAGCGAGAAGUUUUGAAAAGAUUCUUCGGAUGAAAUUUAAAAUGGAAAGCGGCGGACGGGUGAGUAACGCGUAGGCAACCUGCCCCAUACAAAGGGAUAGCAUUGGAAACGAAUAUUAAUACCUUAUGAAACUUAACUAGUGCAUGCUAGGUAGGUCAAAGAUUCAUCGGUAUGGGAUGGGCCUGCGUCUGAUUAGCUAGUUGGUGAGGUAACGGCUCACCAAGGCGACGAUCAGUAGCCGACCUGAGAGGGUGAACGGCCACAUUGGAACUGAGACACGGUCCAAACUCCUACGGGAGGCAGCAGUGGGGAAUAUUGCACAAUGGGGGAAACCCUGAUGCAGCAACGCCGCGUGAACGAUGAAGGCCUUUGGGUCGUAAAGUUCUGUUCUAGGUGAUGAAAACUGACAGUAACCUAGGAGAAAGCCCCGGCUAACUCCGUGCCAGCAGCCGCGGUAAUACGGAGGGGGCAAGCGUUAUCCGGAAUUAUUGGGCGUAAAGGGUACGUAGGUGGCCUUUUAAGCGUAGGGUAUAAGGCAAUGGCUCAACCAUUGUUCGCCCUAUGAACUGGAAGGCUUGAGUGCAGGAGAGGAAAGCGGAAUUCCUAGUGUAGCGGUGGAAUGCAUAGAUAUUAGGAGGAACAUCAGCGGCGAAGGCGGCUUUCUGGACUGCAACUGACACUGAGGUACGAAAGCGUGGGGAGCAAACAGG